UACGUAGGGGGCAAGCGUUGUCCGGAUUUAUUGGGCGUAAAGAGCGUGUAGGCGGCUUGGUAGGUCUUGCGUCAAAACCUGAGGCUCAACCUCAGUUCGCGUGGGAAACCAUCUAGCUAGAGUCCGGAAGAGGAGAACGGAAUUCCCAGUGUAGCGGUGAAAUGCGCAGAUAUUGGGAAGAACACCAGUGGCGAAGGCGGUUCUCUGGGGCGGUACUGACGCUGAGACGCGAAAGCGUGGGGAGCGAACAGG
This 252-nucleotide ribosomal RNA is filed under the name uncultured bacterium. RNAcentral describes it as "partial 16S ribosomal RNA". It matches the Rfam family "Bacterial small subunit ribosomal RNA", at positions 524 to 776 of the family's 1533-position model. The record is from RNAcentral.